This is a long non-coding RNA of Rattus norvegicus (Norway rat), 3876 nucleotides long. RefSeq lists it as uncharacterized. Lineage: Eukaryota; Metazoa; Chordata; Mammalia; Rodentia; Muridae. The record is from RefSeq and is a predicted model, not a curated record.
CAGAACCCACUGUAGGACUUAGCAGGUGGCCUACAUUCUGGGCAAGGCAGUUCUGUCGAAGGAGCUUCUCUACUGCAGGAUGCUAAAAGGCACCCCUGCUUCUUCCCAGCAGAAGGCAGUAGAAACCCCCAGUUGUGAAACCUACCUCCAGACACUGUCAGAUAUCUCACGGGGGAAAAGUCACCCUUAGUUGAGAACAUCUGCUUUGGAUUAACAGGAAGUAUCCGAUGCUGUACCACAAUCAGGUCGUCUUCCCUGAAAUCGUAAAACUCCAGAGACUCUGAGUCUCGGUAUUGGGCUGUGGUGCUUGGCUGCCAAGCUGCCUGUUUGUCGAACAUUGUGGUGGAGACGUAUCAGCGAUCUGUAUCUGGGAUUCAAAGCUGGAAGCCACUUACUGGCUGUGUGGCACCCGAGACUCAAUAUCUAUACCUGUGAAGUGGAAUAGUAGAGUUGUCUGUGACGAGUUAGCAGCAUGGCUCCUGAGGAACGUCUACAAUGUCUGGUUUGAUAGGACCAUGGACCAUCAUAUGGAGCAGAGAACAAAGUGAUAUGUCAGUGAACGGAAGGAUGAGCUCUAAACUCUAUGCCAGCUGACUGACGGAGUGGCACAAAACCUUUGCAAUUGGACCAGUGCUUAAAAUCACCCAAGGACAAUGUCGGAAGCUACGAGAAAGACUCAGUCUUGGUUUGGAACUCGUUAUUCCCAGUGGGCUUCAGGAAUACAGUAUGAGCCUAACUGCAGCUUCAACCAUCUCCAAAGGCACCUGUCCACGUGCAAGGAUUUUCUUUUUCUUUUUUUAAUUGCAUUUUUAAAUUUAUAUUUUAAAUGUUAUUCCAUUUCCUGGUUUCCCCUCCAGAAACCCGACAUUCCCCUCCCUUCUUCUAUGAGGGUGCUCCCACUCCCCACCCACUCCCUCCCAUCUCCCCGCCCACUCCCCACCCACUCCCUCCCAUCUCCCCGCCCUGACAUUCCCCUUCACUGGGGCAUUGAGCCUUGACAGGACCAAAGGCCUUUCCUCCCAUUGAUGCCCGACAAAGCCAAAGGAUUUUCUUUUUGUCAGCACUCUCAUCCAGAAAAUUGGGGAGGUGUUCUUGCAGUCUAUUAUUUGUGCUCUCUUAAUUGCCAUGUUGUAAAUCCCAUAUUUCAUGUGGUAAUUUGUACAAUAAGAAAAUAAAUCCAUAGACAAAGAUGUCCUGUGUGAUCUCAGAUCAUAACCAGUAUCUCUGUUCAGCCCGCGUGAAGAAGCAGAUCCCUCCAAGAACCAGCUAUUUAAUUGGUGGCGGCCGGUGCAUGAUGAAAUGCUGGGCUCCAAACAGAGAUAGAAAGACACACAACAAAAUAAAGAGACAAAUAAACACCGACAGACUCUUCCAUACAGACAAGCAGUAGUAGAGCUUAAACCGAGCACACGAUCCAUCGAACGCAGGGACAACGCAUAGGUUGCAUGCCAGGAAACUGGCUCGAAACCUAGGACUUUGGAACUCAGAGGGACAUCACAGGACACCUACUCGCUGACGUGCCAGUUUCAUUUGGAGAUUCAAUUCUGCCAGCUCUCAGCUGCCUAGAAGAACAAGAGCCGUGCAUGGCCUGGCACCUUCCGAGGGGCCCCACUAGGAGUUCCUGUUUCCCCACUUGGACAUCGCUACUGGCUUGUGUGCUUUCUGGAUGCAAACGUGCAGCGUUUCUGGACUCACAAGCCUCUCAGGUCUUGCCCACUGGCCAGCUCUUUCCCUAAUACCUGGAACCUAUUUUUAGGUGACCUACAGUGGAGAGAUUUGACAUGUAAUUUUCAUGCCUGAGGCUUGAAUUUGACAGGGAAUGUUAGGAAGAAUUUAAUUCAAUGCAACUCACACAUUAGCCAGGGCACACUGAUGCUAUUUUCUCGACUGCCUACUAAGACUUUCUAUUUUAGGUCUUUCCUCCUUUCCUUCAGUGCCCUUUUCUAAACGUUUUCCCUCACUUCACAGGUCUCACUUGCCAGUGCCGUGCCCUUCGCUGCCUACCGAUUUCCUUUCAAUUGCCUGCUGCCAGCCUACUUCAUUCUCUGUGAUGAGUGAGGGAGUAUGGCUGCCAGCUUCCACUCUGUCUUCUCCAGGUUCCUUUAGACAAUGCCUUCUUUGCUGUAGCUGUGUUCUCUUCCUAGUGUCUAGACCAUGGAUAUAAGGAUUGGAUCACUUUCUCCAACCAUAACCCAUCAUGUAGUACUCAUUCUUGAUCAUGCUUCUUGCUUCUCCUCCUCCCUUGUUUCCUCCACUUCCUUUCCACCACCCUCCCCAUCUGUAUUAGUCUUCUAGAGUGCCCAGAAUGUGCGGCCAUGCAGUGUGAAUAUCUCAUGUUCCUCAGCUUUUUCCCCUUAGGACCAAGGUAUAGCCUUAGGACCACGGAUUAUCCUUCCAUUUUCUUAGAACUCUAACACACACACACACACACACACACACACACACACACACACACACACACACACACACACACGGUGAGUGGCAUCUGUCCCACCAGGUCCUUUGAAGAGCUGAGUGAAAUGAUGUAUAAAGUACUUUGCAUUGGCAAGGGGGAAGACUCCAGCAUGGUCUAGAGAAGAAAUAUGAAGGAGCUUCUGCCUCAGGCCUGAAAUGGGUGACCUGAGGAGGCCAUUUUCAGUGUAGGAAAUAAAGUAGAGAGAACUAAUUUUUACAAAUCUGCCUGAAGUGAAAGUGGACUAGAGAGGAGGAGAUAUGUUCCCCUUGCAUAGGAAGGUACAGGAAGACCGGAAGUUAAAACAGUAAGUGGAUUAGGGACUACCUUCAGCUCUUGUGUAUUUGCAGGCCCACCUUGGUUGGAGUGUGAGAUGGCCACUGGGUGGGCAGGCAUAGUGGGUGUAUACCUGAAUGAUUCAUCUUCUAGGGCAAUAAUGAGGUAGAGAAGCAAAUGCCCAGAACUUCUCUUGUUUUUUUCCUUCUUUCCUUCCUUUCUUUCUCCCUUCCUUCCUUCCUUCCUUCCUUCCUUCCUUCCUUCCUUCCUUCCUUUCUUUCUUUCUUUCUUUCUUGUUUUCUUUCUUAAUUCUACAUGAAUUCCUAUUCUUACUUUUAGUGCACAGAAUAAUACAUUUACUAUGACAUAUAUAGUCUACUCAUAUUCUCCCACCCCCAUUGCCCUCUGUUGUCUCUCCUCCCCAAUAGCCCCAUAUGGGUACCUCUCAAUGUCUUGGUUUGUUUGUAGACCACUCAUACACAUCAUACUAAUGAUUGGAGAUUCCUUAACUCUAGUCACUACAACUGGGGCUCAGCUAAGCAUACUCCCCACAAUAGUUUGUGGAAUCAAGUUCCAUUUGAUACGUGAGAAAAUUACUUUAUAUGGCUUAUAAAUAAACAAAAGGUCCUGAAAAAAGUCCGUGGAGAUAAAAAUAACCCAGCAAGCAGCACCGAGGCUGAAGGGUUACUUCUUGCACAAUGAAGUUGUGUCAUUUGGAAUCUUUGGAAAGUGUAUCAGACUUUCCACUUCCUGAAGAUCUUGCUGUUCUAGCGUUUUCUCCACAUGGUAAAAGGCAUCAGAAUAGACUUUGAUAAAACAGAAUAUUUUUAGGCAUUGGAAUGGGCCAGACUCUGCCAAAUUUCUGGCCUUUGGUAUGUGCUGCUGAGCAACGUCAGAUGCUCACACGGACACAUGCUGGCAUUUACAAGGCAGGAGGUGGGCUCUGCCAAGUUCAGAAGCAUCGCCUUUUUCAUCAGCUCCCUGUAACUUCCUCAAAUGCGUCUGUGCAUUUACUGUUGGCUACCGAAGAGGGGACAAGCAGCAGUUCUGAUAGAAUUCUCAUAGAACUCUACUGCAAAUGUAUUCAAGGACCUUAGAAAAGUCUAGAGGAGGCCUACUGCUUUCUUUCUAUAAAUGUGACCUUUUGU